RNAcentral lists this ribosomal RNA (274 nucleotides) under uncultured bacterium. Its description in RNAcentral is "partial 16S ribosomal RNA". It matches the Rfam family "Bacterial small subunit ribosomal RNA", at positions 523 to 796 of the family's 1533-position model. The record is from RNAcentral.
AUACGGAGGAUCCAAGCGUUAUCCGGAAUCAUUGGGUUUAAAGGGUCCGUAGGCGGGUUUGUAAGUCAGUGGUGAAAGUUUUCGGCUCAACCGGAAAAUUGCCAUUGAUACUGCAGGUCUUGAAUUAUGGUGAAGUGAUUAGAAUGUGUAGUGUAGCGGUGAAAUGCAUAGAUAUUACACAGAAUACCGAUUGCGAAGGCAGAUCACUAACAAUAUAUUGACGCUAAGGGACGAAAGCGUGGGUAGCGAACAGGAUUAGAAACCCCUGUAGUCC